RNAcentral lists this ribosomal RNA (732 nucleotides) under uncultured eukaryote. Its description in RNAcentral is "SSU rRNA". It matches the Rfam family "Eukaryotic small subunit ribosomal RNA", at positions 673 to 1426 of the family's 1831-position model. The record is from RNAcentral.
GGCGUGUACUGCUCUGCUGGGCCUUACCUCUUGGUGAGCCGGCGUGGCCUUAACUGGUUGCGUCGGGGAACCAGGACUCUUACCUUGAGAAAAUUAGAGUGUUCAAAGCAGGCCUAUGCCUGAAUACAUUAGCAUGGAAUAAUAAAAUAGGACGUGCGGUUCUAUUUUGUUGGUUUCUAGAGUCGCCGUAAUGAUUAAUAGGGAUAGUUGGGGGCAUUGGUAUUGAGUCGCUAGAGGUGAAAUUCUUGGAUUGACUCAAGACCGACUACUGCGAAAGCAUUUGCCAAGGAUGUUUUCAUUAAUCAAGGACGAAGGUUAGGGGAUCGAAAACGAUCAGAUACCGUUGUAGUCUUAACAGUAAACUAUGCCGACUAGGGAUCGGGCGACCUCAAAUUUGAUGUGUCGCUCGGCACCUUACGAGAAAUCAAAGUUUUUGGGUUCUGGGGGGAGUAUGGUCGGAAGGCUGAAACUUAAAGGAAUUGACGGAAGGGCACCACCAGGUGUGGAGCCUGCGGCUUAAUUUGACUCAACACGGGGAAACUCACCAGGUCCAGACAUAACUAGGAUUGACAGAUUGAUAGCUCUUUCAUGAUUUUAUGGGUGGUGGUGCAUGGGCCGUUCUUAGUUGGUGGAGUGAUUUGUCUGGUUAAUUCCGAUAACGAACGAGACCUUAACCUGCUAAAUAGCCAGGCCGGCUUCUGCUGGUCGCAGGCUUCUUAGAGGGACUGUCAG